Molecule: ribosomal RNA, 1492 nt
Filed under: Salmonella enterica subsp. enterica serovar Bareilly
Lineage: Bacteria; Pseudomonadati; Pseudomonadota; Gammaproteobacteria; Enterobacterales; Enterobacteriaceae
Description: partial 23S ribosomal RNA
Rfam family: Bacterial large subunit ribosomal RNA
Source: RNAcentral
CGUAGGGAAACCGAGUCUUAACCGGGCGUUAAGUUGCAGGGUAUAGACCCGAAACCCGGUGAUCUAGCCAUGGGCAGGUUGAAGGUUGGGUAACACUAACUGGAGGACCGAACCGACUAAUGUUGAAAAAUUAGCGGAUGACCUGUGGCUGGGGGUGAAAGGCCAAUCAAACCGGGAGAUAGCUGGUUCUCCCCGAAAGCUAUUUAGGUAGCGCCUCGUGAAUUCAUCUCCGGGGGUAGAGCACUGUUUCGGCUAGGGGGCCAUCCCGGCUUACCAACCCGAUGCAAACUGCGAAUACCGGAGAAUGUUAUCACGGGAGACACACGGCGGGUGCUAACGUCCGUCGUGAAGAGGGAAACAACCCAGACCGCCAGCUAAGGUCCCAAAGUCAUGGUUAAGUGGGAAACGAUGUGGGAAGGCACAGACAGCCAGGAUGUUGGCUUAGAAGCAGCCAUCAUUUAAAGAAAGCGUAAUAGCUCACUGGUCGAGUCGGCCUGCGCGGAAGAUGUAACGGGGCUAAACCAUGCACCGAAGCUGCGGCAGCGACGUUUAUGCGUUGUUGGGUAGGGGAGCGUUCUGUAAGCCUGCGAAGGUGGCCUGUGAGGGUUGCUGGAGGUAUCAGAAGUGCGAAUGCUGACAUAAGUAACGAUAAAGCGGGUGAAAAGCCCGCUCGCCGGAAGACCAAGGGUUCCUGUCCAACGUUAAUCGGGGCAGGGUGAGUCGACCCCUAAGGCGAGGCCGAAAGGCGUAGUCGAUGGGAAACGGGUUAAUAUUCCCGUACUUGGUGUUACUGCGAAGGGGGGACGGAGAAGGCUAUGUUGGCCGGGCGACGGUUGUCCCGGUUUAAGCGUGUAGGCUGGUUUUCCAGGCAAAUCCGGAAAAUCAAGGCUGAGGCGUGACGACGAGGCACUACGGUGCUGAAGCAACAAAUGCCCUGCUUCCAGGAAAAGCCUCUAAGCAUCAGGUAACAUCAAAUCGUACCCCAAACCGACACAGGUGGUCAGGUAGAGAAUACCAAGGCGCUUGAGAGAACUCGGGUGAAGGAACUAGGCAAAAUGGUGCCGUAACUUCGGGAGAAGGCACGCUGACACGUAGGUGAAGUGAUUUACUCAUGGAGCUGAAGUCAGUCGAAGAUACCAGCUGGCUGCAACUGUUUAUUAAAAACACAGCACUGUGCAAACACGAAAGUGGACGUAUACGGUGUGACGCCUGCCCGGUGCCGGAAGGUUAAUUGAUGGGGUCAGCGCAAGCGAAGCUCCUGAUCGAAGCCCCGGUAAACGGCGGCCGUAACUAUAACGGUCCUAAGGUAGCGAAAUUCCUUGUCGGGUAAGUUCCGACCUGCACGAAUGGCGUAAUGAUGGCCAGGCUGUCUCCACCCGAGACUCAGUGAAAUUGAACUCGCUGUGAAGAUGCAGUGUACCCGCGGCAAGACGGAAAGACCCCGUGAACCUUUACUAUAGCUUGACACUGAACAUUGAGCCUUGAUGUGUAG